UACGAAGGGUGCAAACGUUGCUCGGAAUCAUUGGGCGUAAAGCGCACGUAGGUGGCCUUGCAAGUCGGAUGUGAAAUCCCACGGCUCAACCGUGGACGUGCAUCCGAAACUGCUCGGCUCGAGUAUGGAAGAGGGUCGCGGAAUUCCCGGUGUAGAGGUGAAAUUCGUAGAUAUCGGGAGGAACACCAGUGGCGAAGGCGGCGACCUGGGCCAAUACUGACGCUGAUGAGCGAAAGCCAGGGGAGCAAACGGG
This 253-nucleotide ribosomal RNA is filed under the name uncultured bacterium. RNAcentral's name for it is "partial 16S ribosomal RNA". It matches the Rfam family "Bacterial small subunit ribosomal RNA", at positions 524 to 776 of the family's 1533-position model. The record is from RNAcentral.